AUAGUUCUUCGGGGCGGGGUGCAAGUCCCCACCGGCAGUAAAGUCUGCGAGCUGAAACUGGCUGAUCCGGUGUAAUUCCGGAACCGACGGUAUAGUCCGGAUGAGAGAAGGGUAUU
Molecule: non-coding RNA, 116 nt
Filed under: Johnsonella ignava
Lineage: Bacteria; Bacillati; Bacillota; Clostridia; Lachnospirales; Lachnospiraceae
Also listed under: 1 other name
Description: FMN sequence
Rfam family: FMN riboswitch aptamer (RFN element)
About the family: The RFN element is a highly conserved domain that is found frequently in the 5'-untranslated regions of prokaryotic mRNAs that encode for flavin mononucleotide (FMN) biosynthesis and transport proteins. This element is a metabolite-dependent riboswitch that directly binds FMN in the absence of proteins.
Source: RNAcentral